RNAcentral lists this ribosomal RNA (468 nucleotides) under uncultured bacterium. RNAcentral's name for it is "partial 16S ribosomal RNA". It matches the Rfam family "Bacterial small subunit ribosomal RNA", at positions 28 to 507 of the family's 1533-position model. The record is from RNAcentral.
GACGAACGCUGGCGGCGUGCUUAACACAUGCGAGUCGAACGGAAAGGCCCUGCUUUUGUGGGGUGCUCGAGUGGCGAACGGGUGAGUAACACGUGAGUAACCUGCCCUUGACUUUGGGAUAACUUCAGGAAACUGGGGCUAAUACCGGAUAGGAGCUCCUGCUGCAUGGUGGGGGUUGGAAAGUUUCGGCGGUUGGGGAUGGACUCGCGGCUUAUCAGCUUGUUGGUGGGGUAGUGGCUUACCAAGGCUUUGACGGGUAGCCGGCCUGAGAGGGUGACCGGCCACAUUGGGACUGAGAUACGGCCCAGACUCCUACGGGAGGCAGCAGUGGGGAAUAUUGCACAAUGGGCGGCAGCCUGAUGCAGCAACGCCGCGUGCGGGAUGACGGCCUUCGGGUUGUAAACCGCUUUCGCCUGUGACGAAGCGUGAGUGACGGUAAUGGGUAAAGAAGCACCGGCUAACUACGUG